This 207-nucleotide long non-coding RNA is filed under the name Lotus japonicus. RNAcentral's name for it is "long non-coding RNA (LJAP_LNC000684)". The record is from RNAcentral. Lineage: Eukaryota; Viridiplantae; Streptophyta; Magnoliopsida; Fabales; Fabaceae.
CGGAUUCAUGUUCAGAGAGAGAAAAACACGAAUGUUGUCCACAUCGGUGGUUAGCGCACACAGAAUCAAAAUCGCACAUAGUUUUAAAAAAGAAAAAGAAAAAGAAAAAUCUCUAUGAGAAGAGUGGACAACUAGGAAUGGCAAGGUGCGUGAAGCCACGUGAGAGUGGGUCCCCUCAGCGCGUGAAAUACAGUUUCGGGAAUGAGC